UGUUUUUAGUGUAUUGGCGGAACCACACUGAUCCAUUUCGAACUCAGUUGUGAAACGUUAUAAAUCGGCGAAAAUACUUGGAGAGACAUCUCCCGGAAAAAUAGCUCAAUGCCAAAGUU
RNAcentral lists this ribosomal RNA (119 nucleotides) under Ulnaria ulna. Lineage: Eukaryota; Bacillariophyta; Fragilariophyceae; Fragilariales; Fragilariaceae. The record is from RNAcentral. RNAcentral also lists the same sequence under 1 other name.